GGGCCGCUAGCUCAAUCGGUAGAGCAAGAGCCUUUUAAGCUCGUGGUUCUGGGUUCGAGUCCCAGGCGGCCCA
Molecule: transfer RNA, 73 nt
Filed under: Patulibacter medicamentivorans
Lineage: Bacteria; Bacillati; Actinomycetota; Thermoleophilia; Solirubrobacterales; Patulibacteraceae
Rfam family: tRNA
About the family: Transfer RNA (tRNA) molecules are approximately 80 nucleotides in length. Their secondary structure includes four short double-helical elements and three loops (D, anti-codon, and T loops).
Source: Rfam by way of RNAcentral